AUGAGGUUGUUUCAUAUGUUGUCUGUGGUGGUUCUUCUAAUCAUGGGGGGUUCAAAGGACGUUUUGAGAAGAGUGUUUGCACCCAUUAUGGGAGGUCAGACCAUAAAACUGCUUCUUGCUUCAAAAUUAUUGGUUAUCCAUAAUGGUGGAAUAAUGGACGUGGAAAUGGAAAGAGCACCGGGAAAGUCAAAUGUGUUGUUGGUGAUGGAAAUGGUACUCUCGGUGUUGCUAAUGGUGCUCAAUCUGGAACACCAUCCUUUUCUGCCUCAUGUGUUUUGA
Molecule: non-coding RNA, 279 nt
Organism: Vicia faba (fava bean)
Lineage: Eukaryota; Viridiplantae; Streptophyta; Magnoliopsida; Fabales; Fabaceae
Source: the annotation of a GenBank genome assembly